RNAcentral lists this transfer RNA (73 nucleotides) under Solanum lycopersicum (tomato). Its description in RNAcentral is "tRNA-Tyr (GTA) (tRNA-Tyr-GTA-7-1)". It matches the Rfam family "tRNA". Rfam says of the family: Transfer RNA (tRNA) molecules are approximately 80 nucleotides in length. Their secondary structure includes four short double-helical elements and three loops (D, anti-codon, and T loops). The record is from RNAcentral. Lineage: Eukaryota; Viridiplantae; Streptophyta; Magnoliopsida; Solanales; Solanaceae.
CCGACCUUAGCUCAGUUGGUAGAGCGGAAGACUGUAGAUCUUUAGGUCGCUGGCUCGAAUCCGGCAGGUCGGA